UCCGGAGAGGAUGCCUUAGAAACGGCAACCACAUCUAAGGAAGGCAGCAGGCGCGCAAAUUACCCACUCUCAAUUCGAGGAGGUAGUGACAACAACUAACGAGACUGCGUCCUAUGGGCGCAGUCAUCGAAAUGGGUACAAUUUAAACCCUUUAACGAGGAUCUAUGAGAGGGCAAGUCUGGUGCCAGCAGCCGCGGUAAUUCCAGCUCUCAAAGUGUAUGUCAUUAUUGCUGCGGUUAAAAAGCUCGUAGUUGGAUCUGAGCCCGUGGAUACAGUUCACCUCUGUGUGAUACUGUCAUCCUGGGUUAAUUUCGUCGGUCUUCCGGCGAGAGUUACUCUGAACAAAUCGGAGUGCUCAAAACAAGCGUUUCGCUUGAACGUUUUUGCAUGGAAUAAUGGAAAAGGACUUCGGUUCCUUACUGUUGGUUUCGGAAUUGGAUUAAUGAUUAAGAGGGACCAACGGGGGCAUACGUAUCGCUGCGCGAGAGGUGAAAUUCAUGGACCGCAGCGAGACGACCUACAGCGAAAGCAUUUGCCAAGAAUGUCUUCAUUAAUCAAGAACGAAAGUCAGAGGUUCGAAGGCGAU
This 586-nucleotide ribosomal RNA is filed under the name Distolabrellus veechi. RNAcentral describes it as "SSU rRNA". It matches the Rfam family "Eukaryotic small subunit ribosomal RNA", at positions 382 to 1008 of the family's 1831-position model. The record is from RNAcentral. Lineage: Eukaryota; Metazoa; Nematoda; Chromadorea; Rhabditida; Rhabditidae.